Molecule: long non-coding RNA, 7230 nt
Filed under: Lactuca sativa (garden lettuce)
Lineage: Eukaryota; Viridiplantae; Streptophyta; Magnoliopsida; Asterales; Asteraceae
Description: long non-coding RNA (LSAT_LNC003065)
Source: RNAcentral
ACUCGGCGAGUCCAUGCCAUGCAACCGCUCAAACUGCUUUCUAAGGUCAGAACUGCUCCGACCAUUCAUAGGUCUGGCCUUCCUAGACUGAUUCAUCACGUAAGGUCCUCAUUUCGGUGCUCAUAAUACACCCCAUGACUCAUAAUUUACAUUUUGACCUAAGGCAUAAGGAUUCCAAUCCAAAACCUCCAUUAAUUCCCGAAAUGCUCAGGCAUGGGACAUUCUGGACUUCCAAAGGUCCCAAUACAGGGUUCCAAUCGUUUGGGGGACUAAGGUAACAUUCAAUCUAGCCACAAAAGGGUUCCAUAAACCCUAAAUCCAUAUACACAUCAACAUAGCAGAGUAUAACUCGAAUUCUUACCUGAAUAAUGUGCUCUCUGUGUCCCCAAUCCUCAGAACGUGACUUCCCUUGUUGCUCCCUUAAUCAAGCCUUCUCUUCCUUGCACAAUAACUCUUCUAAAAUCAACAAUGGCCUUCAACCUUGCUCCAGACGCUCACAAUCAAUUUAGGGUUUCUCUCAGAAGGCUAGAGUGAACAAUGACGGCCAUAAAGUCCCUCAUAUACGUCCCAAACCUGAACGGUUAGGGUUUCGCUAAACAGCGUGGACUCGCCGAGUCCAUAUCCGGACUCGUCGAGUCCAGUCGCGAACCCGCGACCAGAUCUGCGAUCCUACUCGGCGAGUCUGAGCUCCAACUCGCCGAGUCCCCUCUUAAAACACCCAAAAUCAUAAUUAUAGCAAUAUCUGGAAAUUCGGGCUGUUACAACUCUCCCCCACUAGGACUAGACUUCACCCUCAAAGUCUCACUCUGAAAAUAGCUCCGGAUGCUGCUCCCACAUCUCACGCUCCAGCCCACAGGUCAUUUUCGAUCCCCUCCGGUGCUGCCACUGAACUAACACCAGAGGUAUCUCCUUAUACCUCAGAACCUCGAUCUUCCGAUUUCUGAUGACCACUGGUCUCUCGGCAUAAUUCAGGCUCGCAUCCACCUGAAUGUCUUCUAAUGGGAUCACUGCCGACUCAUCGGCUAUAUACUUUCUCAAUUGCGACACAUGAAAAAUGUCGUGGAUUUGUCUCAAAUCCGUGGGCAACUCCAAACGGUAGGCCACCCGGCCUACCCCCGCAAUCACAUGAAAAGGCCCAAUAUACCGGGGCCCCAACUUGCCCCUCUUCCUGAAUCGAAUCACUCCUUUCCAAGGAGAGACCUUCAGGAGUACGAAGUCGCCGACCUGAAACUCAAGCUCGGACCGGCGUCUGUCUGCAUAACUUUUCUGUCGGCUCUGGGCGGUCAAUAACCUCUGUCUAAUCUGCUGAAUCUGCUCUGUCGACUGAAGCACGAUCUCUGUACUGCCCAUCACUCUCUGGAACCGAGAAUUACCCAAGAUGCAACUCUGCUCUAAAUCUCAACGAUCACUUGACCCAUAAGGGUUAGGAAACCAUGAACCACCGGAUCCCCGAUCCAAAGCCCACUUUGUCCAUUCCGGACCGACUGAGAGACCCAUUCUCACUCUCAGAGCAACUCUCACGAGUUCUCCUCUUGCAAUCACAUACACAUGCUGAACUAGCCCCAACACCCGCAGGUUGGAAGACCCGAUACACUGAUGAUAUCCUCGAACAUCUCCCAGGAUGAACCACUAAUAUCCACCCUAUACCCUGAUCAGAAUCACACUGAGAAUUCAAGAUUCUCUCUCCCCCUGCAUCCCUUCUGAGCCUCAACAGACAUCCCAAACCGGAUGAGUUCCUACUUCACUGCCGCGAACACGAUGCUCAAAACCAUACUCGAAAUACUCUAACCAUAACUCUGCUCUGCAGCUUUCACUUUCGUGAACUUGCACUCCCCUUCGGAGUUACACACCUUUCUCUUUUCUUUUUCCAAGGAACCCUCUUGACCAUAAUGCCACUCCAACCGGUGCCACGGUGCUCGCCCCAAGCGACACCACCCUUUUUGCGUAACCGCUAUUCACAUACUCUGGUUCUCAUUGCAGGGGCUCUCAAGCCCAUGCACUCUCUCCAUUCCACAAAAUCACUACCUCAACUAAACAAAAUCACUAACCCGGGGCCAGACCUUCCAAUGUAAUCACACUACAACAUACAAAAUCCAAAAUCUCAAACUGAUCCAACAAUACUAUCAGAGUCCCCAGCAUGACUGGACCGACUCUCAUAACACACACCAGCCACUCGAGGCUAUAUCUCGGUGGGUCCGUACACCCAAACUCUGUGAACCCUUAGGUUCCAACUCUGGGAACCUUCCGGUUCCAACUCUAGAAACAUGCUCAACAUAAAUCUCGUGGGAUUAAUGCAGUACAACCCAUCACAUACAUCAAGCAUACAAAUACUCUGAUCACAUAACCCCGGUUACUUACUUAAACUUGAUCCCGGCCUGCUCCCAGGCCUCCACAAUCAAUUGCCCUAGGUCUGUAUCCCGCCCCGCAUACCCGACACUCGCUCUUGUCAGCCUAUACUCUGAGCUGACAGAACACUGCUGAAUCCCAACAGCUAAGCACCCUCACAUACUCAUCGAUCUCCCGGAGAAUUCUCCAAUUCUCCCCCACUUAAAGCACUGACUAACAACCACCGAUCGCCAUUAACGACCUUCCAGAACAACCCCGCACAAAGAGAACACUUACACACUGACUGCUUCCCACAAGCAUAAGCAACCCUCAGCAAAACACAUCUCCUCCCUGAUCAAUCCGCUCAAAAGAAUCCGGCCUUUCAAUUUUCCACUCCACGACUACAGAUGCUACCCGAGAUUCAACCCAAUGCCGCAUCUCCGCUAUCAACCCUCACGAAUGAUAACCAAAGGAAUUCCCAAACAAUAACUCAUAACCAAACCCACAACUUGCAAAAGGAUGGAUACCGCAUCGAAAACCGCACAAUAAUAUCGGCACCAAAACACCAGACUAUAACCAUACCAAACCAUCAGGGAACAACGAAUGCCACAGCGAAAACCUGAAACACCAAUCCAUAACCAUGCCAAACCCGCGAAACAACGAAUACCGCAUCGAAAUCCACACAAGAUACCAGCACAAACAAUACGCCACAAUCAACGCAAGAUAAUCAAGACAUCAAGAAAGCAUCAUACCCGCAGCUGCCUCCGGCACUGCUCCGUCUCCCUCUGCCGCAAGCCGAUAAGCACGACCCUGAGCCCUUGGGGCUCCGCUCCAUCCUGUCCUCCUCCUGAACUCCUCAAGGUGGCCGGUGCUAGAGCCUGCACCGGUCCUGCAGAAAGCUGUGGACAGUUGACCCUCAAAUGUCCAACCUGCCGACAAUGAUAACAAAUCCUCAAAUCCCGAAUCGGCACUGACUGCCGACAAUCCCGCGCAUAGUGCCCCUCCUUUCCGCACUUGCGGCAUGCACCACCGGACCAGCAAACUCCGGUGUAAUCCCUCCCACACUUCCCACAAGUAUGGCCGCUCCAAUCUCCCAUUCUAACAUCAACGGUACUGGACCGUUUCGGCGCUGGCUGCGACUGCAUCGGAGCCUGCCUCAGCUCACGGAACUGCAAAUCAACCUCUAACUCACGCCGCAUGGUGGCCUCCUGUAACACCAACAAGGUCUCGCACCUCUGCGCAGACACGAACUGUCUGAUAUCCCCCUUGAGCAUACUCAGAUAUCGGGACAUCUGAGCCUGCUCCGAAGCGAACUCAGGGCAAAACAUCGCCCUCUCAAUAAACAUCCUGGUGAUCUCAGUCACCGACUCCGAAUCCUGCUUCAGCUCAAGGAACUCCCGAUCCAAUCUCUUCCUCUCAUCUCGCGGAACAUAGCGAGUACUGAACAUCUCUCGGAACUGAUCCCCUGAAACCGCAGCCCUCUGCGCGUCGGAAAAUGACCUCGCAGUCAAUCUCCACCAAUCCUUCGCUCCGAGCCUCAAUAGGUUCAGAGCACCCCUCACUCUCUGAUCAGUAGGGCAUAAACUCGUGGAGAAACACCCCUCCACGUCUGAUAACCAUCUCAUAGCAACAAUCGGGUCCUGAACUCCAUCGAAUGUGGGAGGCUUCGUAUAAUAGAAGUCCCGAUACUGAAAACUCCGACUAGCUCCUCCCCUUGCCGCUGCUACAGCCGUUGUAGCCGUCGCGGCAACCGUCUCUGCAAGAGCCGCAUAUCGCUCGUCGAAAUACUCAAUCAUAGCGGUCCUGAUCGACCCAAACAAUUCUGGCGACUCAGCCCGCAACAAUGCAGCAACCUCAUCACGCAGGAUCUCGCGAAUCCUCGCAUCCCGCUCGCUCGUGCUCGUCCGAUCGAUAACCUCCGACGGCACCGAUCCACCCGGAACUCGCUCUCCAGCUCCCGAUCCUGAUCCGGAUCCACUAUCAUCAUGCCUCGAAAUCUCCAUACUGAAGACACCCUACCAAUCUCAGACACUUCCCAAAAUCCUGGGAUCCAACUCUCGCAACCCUACCCUAGAGACCAUGGUUUCCCUGAUACGCGUAUGGGUCCUGUGCUUUCAGUAGUACGGGCCCAUACUACCUUCCACACCUACCCAUAUUUGUAUGAAGUACUACCACAAUACCCUAGAGAACAUGCAUAACAACUAUCAACCCUCACCACUAGAGGAACACUGAGAAUAUCCCAUAAGGGACCCUAGGCUACAGGCAUCACAAAUCAGGCAACAUUAUCAUGAAUUCCUGAAGAUCCCUAGCCUAACUCUAGCAUGCUGUUCUAUCAAGCUCAAAUAAACAAAUAUCAUGUAUGGUAUCUUGGGGUUACUUACUGGCUCCGGCUGAUCGUACCUCCGCGUCCUCCUUUUACUAAAUUUGAAAACCAUUUUAAUUUCUCUUUUUAAAAUCCUCCUCGAUUUGAGACUGGAGUCACACGAAUGUUUCCCCAAUUCACUCAAACCAAGGCUCUGAUACCAACUUGUAACAUCCAAAAUUUCAAAACAAUUAAAACUUUUCAAAAUCACCCAUUUUAUUAACGUUGUUACAAAAAGGUUUUCAAUACAUUAUUAAACAGAGUAAUUUCCCAGGUUCAUAUCAUAAAACACCAACGCGAGGAACGGUACGAUCACGCCUUUGCCUUGCCACAGACUCUUGAGAACCUGAAACAUAAAACCACAACUGUAAGCCCGAAAGCUUAGUGAGAUACCCCCAGAAUACCAACCACAUAUACGCCUUUCCAGGCCCUGACCUUCCGGUCCAUGUGUCUCAGGGGACUUCCGUCCCUGCUGGGUAAACCUUCCGGUCCUACCCACGCCGACCUUCCGGUCCAUCACACAACAUAAUCGCCUUCCGGCCCAUAACAUAUCGCCUUCCGGCCCAUAACAUAUCGCCUUCCGGCCCAUAACAUAUUGCCUUCCGGCCCAUAAGCAUAAAAUGCAUAUAUAACAUAACAAAUAAUCAUAUAGCAGUUCAUAGACAACAAUCGAUCAACAGAUCACAUAUCAUAGCAUUACUCUAAACAAGAUACCGGUCUAGCCGGUCACUAGCAUAACAUUACCCUACGAAUCAGUCAACAUACUAAAUGCAUACAUACGCCUUUCCAGGCCAUGACCUUCCGGUCCACAUAGCAAUGCCUUCCGGCCCAUAACAUGUAAUGACAACUACCCGGAUUUCCAUCCGAUAAAAGGGUCGGCCUUGGUGCCAUAAACCCUAGCGAUAUAGUGAGGAUAACUCACCUCGAAACUGCCGACUGAACAGAUAGCUCAAGCUGCUCCGAUCACUGAUACGAUCUCCACCUCUGGACAGCCACCAAUGCACUGAACUCAAACAAUAAACAACAAUUACCAAAAUACCCCUGGAACCACUGGUCAAUCCUUGGUCAAAGACAAGGUCAAAGUCAACCCCUGACUGACCCUACUCGCCGAGUCAACCCUAUGACUCGCCGAGUCCCCAUACUCAGAACUUCACUCAAUCCGCGAUCUAACUCGCCGAGUCACCCCAAGACUCGCCGAGUUCAACAACUCUGAGUCCACUCGCCCUUGACUCACCGAUUCUCUAAGAUUCCCUUUCUACACGUCGAGUAUCCCCCUUGACUCGACGAGUUACUCCUGGAAGAAUCGCGGGGCCACCCCGACUCAACUCGCCGAGUCUGAAGAACAACUCGACGAGUCCCAGUUAAUCUUCAAGCUACUCGCCGAGUCUGUUCAUCGGACUCGGCGAGUCCAUGCCAUGCAACCGCUCAAACUGCUUUCUAAGGUCAGAACUGCUCCGACCAUUCAUAGGUCUGGCCUUCCUAGACUGAUUCAUCACGUAAGAUCCUCAUUUCGGUGCUCAUAAUACACCCCAUGACUCAUAAUUUACAUUUUGACCUAAGGCAUAAGGAUUCCAAUCCAAAACCUCCAUUGACUCCCGAAAUGCUCAGGCAUGGGACAUUCUGGACUUCCAAAGGUCCCAAUACAGAGUUCCAACCGAUUGGGGGACUAUGGUAACACUCAAUCUAGCCACAAAAGGGUUCAAUAAACCCUAAAUCCAUAAACACAUCAACAUAGAAGGAUGCAACUUGAAAUAUUACCUGAAUAACGUGCUCUCUGUGUCCCCAAUCCUCAGAAUGUGGCUUCUCUUGUUGUUCCCUUAACCAAGCCUCCUCUUCCUUGCAAAACAACACUUCCAAAAUCAACAAUGGUCUUCUACCUUGCUCCAGAUGCUCACAAUCGAAUUAGGGCUUCACUCACAGGACUAGGGUGAACAAUGACGACCAUAAGGCCCCUUAUAUAUGUCCCCAAACCUGGACGGUUAGGGUUUCGCUAACCAGCGUGGACUCGUCGAGUCCAGUCGCGAACCCGCGACCAGAUCUGCGAUCCUACUCGGCGAGUCUGAGCUCCAACUCGCCGAGUCCCCUCUUAAAACACCCAAAAUCAUAAUUAUAGCAAUAUCUGGAAUUCCGGGCUGUUACAUUCUUAACAUGAAAUCUUUGGCAAAGUGGUUUUUGCCAUCGCAGAAGUUGCAAUCGUAUCCGAAGUCUCCUACCAGUUUGCUCUCCUUUUUCUCUUCUUCUUUCUGAGGAUUAUUUUUGAUCUCCUCUUUCACUUUCUCUGAGCUGUAGCUUCCCUGCCAGUUUCGGUUCUUGGCAAGAGGGAACUUUUUGCGAGAAAAUUGCUUUGGGAUGGAAAUCAUCAUUGCCUACUCUUCGUUUGUCAGAUCACAUUCUGAAAAUUCUAACUAUUCUUCAUCUUCUGCCAUAUUCUUCUCCUUAGAAAGAGGGGCCAAGUAUCCUAUACUAGACACCGCUUUGGAUUCCUUUGUCACAAAACUUUCAUGAGACUUGAGAAUACCCACCAUGUUUUCCAAUGAAUAGGU